UACAAAGAUAAAAACGCAACGUGUUUGAAUGUUUACACCAGAGCCGGUAGGUAGCCCGGCCGUCCUACACUGUAGGGUAAGUAACCUGCCCCUCCGGGUUGUCCAUUCUUUGUUCAUUU
RNAcentral lists this non-coding RNA (119 nucleotides) under pig gut metagenome. RNAcentral's name for it is "yjdF RNA". It matches the Rfam family "azaaromatic riboswitch aptamer (yjdF RNA)". The record is from RNAcentral.